Molecule: ribosomal RNA, 254 nt
Filed under: uncultured bacterium
Lineage: Bacteria
Description: partial 16S ribosomal RNA
Rfam family: Bacterial small subunit ribosomal RNA
Source: RNAcentral
UACGUAGGGUGCGAGCGUUGUCCGGAAUUAUUGGGCGUAAAGAGCUCGUAGGCGGUGUGUUACGUCGGCCGUGAAAACCUGCAGCUUAACUGUGGGCGUGCGGUCGAUACGGGCAUCACUGGAGUUCGGCAGGGGAGACUGGAAUUCCUGGUGUAGCGGUGAAAUGCGCAGAUAUCAGGAGGAACACCGGUGGCGAAGGCGGGUCUCUGGGCCGAUACUGACGCUGAGGAGCGAAAGCGUGGGGAGCGAACGGG